RNAcentral lists this long non-coding RNA (532 nucleotides) under Ictidomys tridecemlineatus (thirteen-lined ground squirrel). RNAcentral's name for it is "lncRNA (ENSSTOG00000030175.1)". Lineage: Eukaryota; Metazoa; Chordata; Mammalia; Rodentia; Sciuridae. The record is from RNAcentral.
AGAGGCUGCAGUGUCUCACCCCCAGUAAUUCUCUCUUCUUUACCUCAGGGGAUAGAAGACUGGAUCCUAUUAAGUUUCCUCUUCAUCCUGCAUUUCAUCAGGGCAAACGGCAGUUGGAGAAGAUUGUUCUAGAGAGAGAGAGAAGUAUGGACAUUUAGACCUCAACUGGAGGCAUUGAUUGGAAGGAUUUCUCCCAGAGUUGGCCCACUCGGAAACCAGAAAAGUAUCUCUGGAAACAUACACCAACCAGUGCCAAAUGCCUGGGAGUCAGGAACAGCUCUACCUGCCAAGUCUUUCAAGUUUGAUUCGCUGCCAUCCAAAGUGAAAAUUAGGGAGCUGGCUCUCCUGAACUUUGGACUGGUGACAGAAGAAGCUAAGUGGACCCUGAAUUAGAGGUUAGAGGAGCCCAAGUUCUCUGGAACUCACUAGUCACAGGACACUGGGCAAAUCACAGAAUAUCUUGGUCUCCUCCUCAGUGAAAUGGGACAAUUGGAAAGUUAUGGAGAUAAAACAAGGUAAUGGGAACACUCAG